This 465-nucleotide ribosomal RNA is filed under the name uncultured bacterium. RNAcentral describes it as "partial 16S ribosomal RNA". It matches the Rfam family "Bacterial small subunit ribosomal RNA", at positions 338 to 795 of the family's 1533-position model. The record is from RNAcentral.
CCUACGGGGUGCUGCAGUAGGGAAUCUUCCACAAUGGGCGAAAGCCUGAUGGAGCAACGCCGCGUGGGUGAAGAAUGUCUUCGGAUCGUAAAACCCUGUUGUUAGAGAAGAAAGUGCGUGAGAGUAACUGUUCACGUUUCGACGGUAUCUAACCAGAAAGCCACGGCUAACUACGUGCCAGCAGCCGCGGUAAUACGUAGGUGGCAAGCGUUAUCCGGAUUUAUUGGGCGUAAAGGUAACGCAGGCGGUCUUUUAAGUCUGAUGUGAAAGCCUUCGGCUUAACCGGAGUAGUGCAUUGGAAACUGGGAGACUUGAGUGCAGAAGAGGAGAGUGGAACUCCAGGUGUAGCGGUGAAAUGCGUAGAUAUUAGGAGGAACACCAGUGGCGAAGGCGGAUUGCUAGACUGUAACUGACACUGAGGCACGAAAGCGUGGGGAGCAAACAGGAUUAGAUACCCUGGUAGUC